UUAGUAUAAAAUUAUUAUAUUAAUUUUUUAAAAUUAAUUUUAUUUUAUUAUUAAUUAGAAAAAUGAAUUGUUAUUAUAGUUUAUUAGUAAAGUGAUUGGAUUUUAUUAUUAUUAUUAAAGUAAAAUUUAUUUUUUGUACCUUGUGGAUCAGGGUUUAUUAAUUAAUUAUUAAAUAUUUUAAUAUUCUCGAAUUUAUAAGAGUUAACUUAUUAAUUAUUUAAAUGUUGAAUAAUUUUUUAUAAUUUUAAGUUAGAGGUGAGACGUUAUUCGAUUAUAAAUAUAUCUAGUUUUUUAAGAAAUGAAUUAAAUUCUAUUAUUAAUUAUUAAGUUUUAUUUUUUAAAUCUUAGUUUUUAGUAUUUAAUUUUUAAUGGGAUGAGCUUUUAAAAAAAAAAUUAUAAUUUGAAAUUUUAUAAUAUUUAGUAUAAUUUGAAUUGUUAGUCAUUAAUAAAUUAAUAUUUAGGUAUUUUAAUAAAAAAAUUUUUUUAUGUUUAAUUAUUAUAUUAAAAAAAAUCAUUUAAUCAAUCAUGUUUAAUAUAAUGAUAAAAUUAGUAAUAAUAAUUUAAUUUAGUUUGUUUUUUCCAGAUUAAAAAAAGGAAUUAAGCAAAUAUAAUUUUUUGCCUGUUUAUUAAAAACAUGUCUUUUUGAUUAUAAUUUAAGGUUUGAUCUGCUCAAUGAUAGUUUAAAUAGCCGCAGUACUCUGACUGUGCAAAGGUAGCAUAAUAAUUAGUUACUUAAUUAGUAACUUGAAUGAAUGAUUUGACAAGAAAAUUUCUGUCUCUUUUUAAAUUUUAUUGAAUUUAAUUUUUAAGUUAAAAUGCUUAAUUGAGUAUAAAAGACGAGAAGACCCCAUAGAGUUUUAUUUUUAAAAAUUUUAGUAUAAAAUAAAUAAUUAAAAAAUUAGUUGGGGUGACUUAAAGAUUUAAUUAACUCUUUAAAUUUAAAUCAUUAAUUUAUGAAUAAGAAGUCUAAUUAUAUUAAAUUUAAAUAAAAUUACCUUGGGGAUAACAGCGUAAUUCUUUCUAAAGUUCUUAUUAAAUAAAGAGAUUGCGACCUCGAUGUUGGAUUAAAAUUUAUUUUAGGUGCAGGAGCUUAAAAAUUAAGUCUGUUCGACUUUUAAAAUUUUACAUGAUCUGAGUUUAAACCGGUGUAAGCCAGGUUGGUUUCUAUCUUUAUAAAAAUUUAAUAUUUUAGUACGAAAGGACCAAUUAUUAAAUAUAUUAUUUUAAUAAUUAAUAAAAUU
Molecule: ribosomal RNA, 1241 nt
Filed under: Diaphanes sp. FM11
Lineage: Eukaryota; Metazoa; Arthropoda; Insecta; Coleoptera; Lampyridae
Description: 16S ribosomal RNA
Rfam family: Archaeal large subunit ribosomal RNA (bases 1002-1159)
Source: RNAcentral